UGGGGAAUAUUGGACAAUGGGCGAAAGCCUGAUCCAGCCAUGCCGCGUGUGUGAAGAAGGUCUUCGGAUUGUAAAGCACUUUAAGUUGGGAGGAAGGGCAGUAAGUUAAUACCUUGCUGUUUUGACGUUACCGACAGAAUAAGCACCGGCUAACUCUGUGCCAGCAGCCGCGGUAAUACAGAGGGUGCAAGCGUUAAUCGGAAUUACUGGUCGUAAAGCGCGCGUAGGUGGUUUGUUAAGUUGGAUGUGAAAGCCCCGGGCUCAACCUGGGAACUGCAUCCAAAACUGGCAAGCUAGAGUACGGUAGAGGGUGGUGGAAUGUCCGGUGUAGCGGGGAAAUGCGUAGAUAUAGGAAGGAACACCAGUGGCGAAGGCGACCACCUGGACUGAUACUGACACUGAGGUGCGAAAGCGUGGGGAGCUAACAGG
Molecule: ribosomal RNA, 429 nt
Filed under: Acidobacteriota bacterium
Lineage: Bacteria; Pseudomonadati; Acidobacteriota
Description: Acidobacteria bacterium partial 16S ribosomal RNA
Rfam family: Bacterial small subunit ribosomal RNA
Source: RNAcentral